ACGUAGGGUGCGAGCGUUAAUCGGAAUUACUGGGCGUAAAGCGUGCGCAGGCGGUUGUGUAAGACAGAUGUGAAAUCCCCGGGCUCAACCUGGGAACUGCAUUUGUGACUGCACGGCUUGAGUGCGGCAGAGGGGGAUGGAAUUCCGCGUGUAGCAGUGAAAUGCGUAGAUAUGCGGAGGAACACCGAUGGCGAAGGCAAUCCCCUGGGCCUGCACUGACGCUCAUGCACGAAAGCGUGGGGAGCAAACAGG
RNAcentral lists this ribosomal RNA (252 nucleotides) under uncultured bacterium. RNAcentral describes it as "partial 16S ribosomal RNA". It matches the Rfam family "Bacterial small subunit ribosomal RNA", at positions 525 to 776 of the family's 1533-position model. The record is from RNAcentral.